GACGUAGGGAGCGAGCGUUGUCCGGAAUUACUGGGCGUAAAGGGUGCGUAGGCGGCAUGGCAAGUCAGAUGUGAAAUCCCCGGGCUUAACUCGGGUGGUGCAUUUGAAACUGCUGUGCUUGAGUGCAGGAGAGGAAAGCGGAAUUCCUAGUGUAGCGGUGAAAUGCGUAGAUAUUAGGAGGAACACCAGUGGCGAAGGCGGCUUUCUGGACUGUAACUGACGCUGAGGCACGAAAGCGUGGGGAGCAAACAGG
Molecule: ribosomal RNA, 253 nt
Filed under: uncultured bacterium
Lineage: Bacteria
Description: partial 16S ribosomal RNA
Rfam family: Bacterial small subunit ribosomal RNA
Source: RNAcentral